UUACGGUCAAAUCACGCUGAAAACACCGGUUCUCGUUCGAUCACCGAAGUUAAGCGUCGUAGAGCCAGGUCAGUACUUAGAUGGGAUUCCGCUUGGGAACACCUGGUACUGUAAG
This 115-nucleotide ribosomal RNA is filed under the name Acanthosepion pharaonis. Lineage: Eukaryota; Metazoa; Mollusca; Cephalopoda; Sepiida; Sepiidae. The record is from RNAcentral.